GAUGAAGAACGUAGCGAAAUGCGAUAAGUAAUGUGAAUUGCAGAAUUCAGUGAAUCAUCGAAUCUUUGAACGCACCUUGCGCUCCUUGGUAUUCCGAGGAGCAUGCCUGUUUGAGUGUCAUUAAAUUCUCAACCAUUAUCAACUUUUGCUGAUAAUGGCUUGGAUGUGGGGGUCUAUUUUGCUGGCUUCUCAGAUAGUCAGCUCCCCUUAAAUGCAUUAGCCGGUGCCCCGCGUGGACUGUCUAUUGGUGUGAUAAUUAUCUACGCUAUAGACAUCUGCAAUCAUAUGGGUUUGCGCUGCUUCUAACAGUCUGUUGAUUCAGACAAUACAUGACAAUUUGACCUCAAAUCAGGUAGGACUACCCGCUGAACUUAAGCAUAUCAAUAAGGGAGGA
This 394-nucleotide unclassified non-coding RNA is filed under the name soil metagenome. RNAcentral describes it as "partial contains 5.8S ribosomal RNA, internal transcribed spacer 2, and large subunit ribosomal RNA". The stretch from base 1 to 120 matches the Rfam family "5.8S ribosomal RNA", at positions 35 to 154 of the family's 154-position model. The record is from RNAcentral.